Molecule: long non-coding RNA, 572 nt
Filed under: Homo sapiens (human)
Lineage: Eukaryota; Metazoa; Chordata; Mammalia; Primates; Hominidae
Description: HSALNT0026778
Source: RNAcentral
UUUGUUUGCAGCAGUGAAUGAAAAUUCCAGUUGCUCUGCAUUUUCAUCAUUUGGUGUGGUCUUUUUAAUUGUAGAUAUAUUAACAGAAAGAAAAGCGAUCAGAAUCAAAUUGCCUCGCCUGCACCUGCAUGGGCCCGGAAGUGAUUUAUGGCAUCACUGCUACCAGGCUGUUCCCUGGGAUGUGCCCCGAACUUUGGCAGCCUCCACCUGGCUGGGCUUCAUUUUGCAGCCCUCCUGCACAUCGGCCCGGCGCUGCGAGGAGGAAUCGGCCACACACAGACCUGCUUCAGCCCAUGGCUGAGUUGGAGUCUGUCUUCCUUGGUGAUGACCAUUCAAAAGCUACUGUAAGCUUUUCAACGUUGUAAACCCCCAUCUAUUUCAGAUCCUGUGCUUACUUCCAAUUAAUCUGAAUGGGAGUUGCAUAGUUCCAGUGAAAUUUUAUUCUUAUUUUGUGUUUUCUUGGCUUUAUUUCCCCUAUAAAUUCAGAGCAGAGGUUGAGACAUGGCAAUUUUUCAUCAUGAUUGCAUCUCUCUUGGUCUUCCAAAAACAUGGAAGGGUGUGAAUAGCUCGAA